Molecule: ribosomal RNA, 429 nt
Filed under: Acidobacteriota bacterium
Lineage: Bacteria; Pseudomonadati; Acidobacteriota
Description: Acidobacteria bacterium partial 16S ribosomal RNA
Rfam family: Bacterial small subunit ribosomal RNA
Source: RNAcentral
UGGGGAAUCUUGGACAAUGGGGGAAACCCUGAUCCAGCCAUCCCGCGUGUGCGAUGAAGGCCUUCGGGUUGUAAAGCACUUUUGGCAGGAAAGAAACGUCAUGGGUUAAUACCCCGUGAAACUGACGGUACCUGCAGAAUAAGCACCGGCUAACUACGUGCCAGCAGCCGCGGUAAUACGUAGGGUGCAAGCGUUAAUCGGAAUUACUGGGCGUAAAGCGUGCGCAGGCGGUUCGGAAAGAAAGAUGUGAAAUCCCAGAGCUCAACUUUGGAACUGCAUUUUUAACUACCGGGCUAGAGUGUGUCAGAGGGAGGUGGAAUUCCGCGUGUAGCAGUGAAAUGCGUAGAUAUGCGGAGGAACACCGGUGGCGAAGGCAGCCUCCUGGGAUAACACUGACGCUCAUGCACGAAAGCGUGGGGAGCAAACAGG